UAGCCACCAAUAGUGCUUACUGAAGGUAGCAUCAGUGAAUUUCCGUUCUUGAAUCACAUGUGAAUUUUUGUUUCGUCUUUGCACAGUUGAUUAAUUUUAACCAAUUUCAAAAUUAAAAAUUAAAUCCAUACAAAUUAAUUUCUGACAACAAAAUAUGGCACAAAAUGAAGGUGGAAAUCGUAUAAUUAAUAUGGCAAAAUCAGUUUAUAAUGAUCCAUUCAUGUGGAAUCUAGUGAAAAGUUGGGCGUUUUUUGCUGGUGGUGUAUUCAUUGCUCGUGAAGUUUUUGAAUUUGAUCCAUCAUUUGCUGUGGCACCACCAAUGGGACCACCAUAAUUGCUCGAAGUUUCCAGAAAUCAAUAAUUUUUUGUCUAGAAUUCAUUAAAUCUCACACUAAUACCAAUUUUAAUAGUUUUUUCUUGUCAU
Molecule: non-coding RNA, 424 nt
Organism: Dermatophagoides farinae (American house dust mite)
Lineage: Eukaryota; Metazoa; Arthropoda; Arachnida; Sarcoptiformes; Pyroglyphidae
Source: RefSeq, a predicted model, not a curated record